GCCGAGGUAGCUCAGUCGGUAGAGCAGGUGACUGAAAAUCCCCGUGUCGGUGGUUCAAAUCCGCCCCUCGGCACCA
Molecule: transfer RNA, 76 nt
Filed under: Desulfosalsimonas propionicica
Lineage: Bacteria; Pseudomonadati; Thermodesulfobacteriota; Desulfobacteria; Desulfobacterales; Desulfosalsimonadaceae
Also listed under: 4 other names
Description: tRNA-Phe
Rfam family: tRNA
About the family: Transfer RNA (tRNA) molecules are approximately 80 nucleotides in length. Their secondary structure includes four short double-helical elements and three loops (D, anti-codon, and T loops).
Source: RNAcentral